RNAcentral lists this transfer RNA (61 nucleotides) under Tigriopus californicus. Its description in RNAcentral is "tRNA-Leu". The record is from RNAcentral. Lineage: Eukaryota; Metazoa; Arthropoda; Copepoda; Harpacticoida; Harpacticidae.
UCCAGUGUGGCAGAUUAGUGCAAUAAAUUUAGGGUUUAUUAAUGGGUAACCCCCACUGGAU